UACGAGAGGCCCAAACGUUAUUCGGAAUUACUGGGCUUAAAGAGUUCGUAGGCGGCUUUGUAAGUCAGGUGUGAAAUCCCUCGGCUCAACCGAGGAAUGGCGCUUGAUACUGCAAGGCUUGAGGGAGACAGGGGUAAGCGGAACUGAUGGUGGAGCGGUGAAAUGCGUUGAUAUCAUCAGGAACACCGGUGGCGAAAGCGGCUUACUGGGUCUCUUCUGACGCUGAGGAACGAAAGCUAGGGGAGCGAACGGG
This 253-nucleotide ribosomal RNA is filed under the name uncultured bacterium. Its description in RNAcentral is "partial 16S ribosomal RNA". It matches the Rfam family "Bacterial small subunit ribosomal RNA", at positions 524 to 776 of the family's 1533-position model. The record is from RNAcentral.